GGUGGAAGUAAAAGUAAAGUCCCUAUGUUCUAAAAAUUACACACUCCAUCCUCACUUUACAGUCAAUAACUCAAAGUUUACGAACUGAUCACAGCAACAAACCACAGGACUUAGAGCACAGAAAUAAAAUACGGUGUGCACCUUUAUGAACACUGUAAACCAGAGAAGAAAUUUUUAAUCAGAAUCCGAAUCCGACUCGCUUGAACUGCUGUCGACGUAGACCUCUUCAUCGCUACCUUUGGCCUUUUUCUUCUCCUUUUUCUUCUCUUUUUCCUUUGCUCUUUCAGCAGCUUCAACCUUGGCUUUCUGCAGCCUUGAGUCUGCUGCUUCCCAUGAUAUGAGGUUUGAAACAAAGGUUGAUAUAUA
This 366-nucleotide unclassified non-coding RNA is filed under the name Hevea brasiliensis (rubber tree). The record is from RNAcentral. Lineage: Eukaryota; Viridiplantae; Streptophyta; Magnoliopsida; Malpighiales; Euphorbiaceae.